CCCUUAAAUCCUUCUAAAGAGCACAUGUCUCAGCAAUGUCCCAUUGUGACCAAAGCAAUAAUGUGUCCUUCCAUGAUUCUUUGACUUCAUCCUUCACGAAGGUCCUGGGACAGCUGCAUGGCCACACCAUCUCCAGCUCCCACCAUCUCCUCCAGGUCCCCCACUGUCCUCUAGCCAAGUUCAUCACUUCUCCUCAAAGCAAGGAUGGCCACCAAUGCUUCCCUCGCAUCUGCAGUUUCUUUUUUUCCCAUUUUGCAGAACUGAAUCUUGAGUAACAUCCUUGUAUGAUGGAUAUAUAGCAGAGCAAGACUAUAAUACCAGCCCAGAUAUAGCAGGGAUUAAGAUGUCAUGAAAAUGGGAAUCUCUGCCUUCUUGACAAGAGCACUUCAAAGUGGCAGAUACAAUGUCUGGGAAAAAAACCUGGAGAACUGGGCAGGAGAAAAUCAGAUACUGUUAAAGUUCUGAAAUACUUCCAAGUAUUCAACCAGAUCCAGUCCAGGGAUGAUGACGGAAUUUUCUUCAUGCAUGAACUUGGAGAAAACCACCUACUAUAAAAAUACAGCAAAACUUCACUGCACUGCAGAGGGAGUUUUUGAGCUGGCACAUCUAACACUUUCAUGAGUUUCUGUUGUGCAGAUAGCUUUGGGGAACUGCUUACAUGACCCACUGCCAAAUCAGCAUCAGUGAAGUAUCUGCAGAAAUAAAGAAGUCAGCUAGAUACGUGUAACAACACUUGCUGCUCUCCUUGUUGCUCGAAUCCUUAAGGCUGUUGUGAUCUGGAUAACCCAAGCACAAAUUUCUGCCAAAAUAUUACAAAGGGUUUCUGAUUAAGUAGGUGUUACAGGAGAGCAGGCCCUACUGCCUCCCAAAACCACCAGCAGAAAUCAACAUGUACCUCAGAAAUAAAUAUAAACAUAAUGGAAUUUAA
Molecule: non-coding RNA, 928 nt
Organism: Phasianus colchicus (ring-necked pheasant)
Lineage: Eukaryota; Metazoa; Chordata; Aves; Galliformes; Phasianidae
Source: RefSeq, a predicted model, not a curated record